Molecule: non-coding RNA, 83 nt
Organism: Cheilinus undulatus (humphead wrasse)
Lineage: Eukaryota; Metazoa; Chordata; Actinopteri; Labriformes; Labridae
Source: the annotation of a RefSeq genome assembly
GUCAGAAUGGCCGAGCGGUCCAAGGCACUGUGUUUAGAUCACAGUCUCCUCUGGAGGCAUGGGUUCAAAUCCCACUUCUGACA